RNAcentral lists this transfer RNA (67 nucleotides) under Thelaira macropus. RNAcentral describes it as "tRNA-Leu". Lineage: Eukaryota; Metazoa; Arthropoda; Insecta; Diptera; Tachinidae. The record is from RNAcentral.
ACUAUUUUGGCAGAAAAAUGUAAUAAAUUUAGAAUUUAUUUAUGUAAAAUUAUUAUUACAAAUAGUA